GACGAACGCUGGCGGCGUGCUUAACACAUGCAAGUCGAACGCUGAAGCUCAGCUUUUGUUGGGUGGAUGAGUGGCGAACGGGUGAGUAACACGUGAGUAACCUGCCUCCUUCUUUGGGAUAACGCCCGGAAACGGGUGCUAAUACUGGAUAUUCACUGGUCUUCGCGUGGGGGUUGGUGGAAAGGGUUUUUCUGGUGGGGGAUGGGCUCGCGGCCUAUCAGCUUGUUGGUGGGGUGAUGGCCUACCAAGGCUUUGACGGGUAGCCGGCCUGAGAGGGUGACCGGUCACAUUGGGACUGAGAUACGGCCCAGACUCCUACGGGAGGCAGCAGUGGGGAAUAUUGCACAAUGGGCGCAAGCCUGAUGCAGCGACGCCGCGUGAGGGAUGGAGGCCUUCGGGUUGUGAACCUCUUUCGCUCAUGGUCAAGCCGCAACAAUGGUUGUGGUGAGGGUAGUGGGUAAAGAAGCGCCGGCUAACUACGUG
Molecule: ribosomal RNA, 483 nt
Filed under: uncultured bacterium
Lineage: Bacteria
Description: partial 16S ribosomal RNA
Rfam family: Bacterial small subunit ribosomal RNA
Source: RNAcentral